GAUAAAGCUCAAAGAAAUUUUAAACCUUUUUAAGUUGUGUGCAGUAAACAUUGAAAUAUUGUCAUUAUACAAAAAAAAAAGAUUUGUUAUGAUUGCCAGUGAGACAUCUCUAUCAGAGAACAAAUGAUGUAGAAGUUGACUGUAGUGUCAGCAUGCAACCUUAAAAAUUUGUUAAACAAUGAGCAAAACCCAUACCACAUAGCAUGGGCAAUCAGACAACUUUUCAUAGAGACUAUUUAUUACAUAGAAAUUAGCAACUGUUGGUCAACAUACGAUCUUCAACAAUGAGAAAAACCUAUACUGCAUAACAAGCUUUAAAAGACUGACAAAACAAAUGUAGAGAAGACUUGAUAGUUUUAAAUUUCAAUCAAAUAUAUACCAGUAAGCAGAUAGAGAGA
This 398-nucleotide long non-coding RNA is filed under the name Mytilus galloprovincialis (Mediterranean mussel). Lineage: Eukaryota; Metazoa; Mollusca; Bivalvia; Mytilida; Mytilidae. The record is from RNAcentral.